AUUGAACGCUGGCGGCAUGCCUUACACAUGCAAGUCGAACGGUAGAGGGGGGCAACCCCUUCGAGAGUGGCGAACGGGUAAGUAAUACAUCGGAACGUACCUUAUCGUGGGGGAUAACGCAGCGAAAGCUGUGCUAAUACCGCAUACGCCCUGAGGGGGAAAGCGGGGGAUCGCAAGACCUCGCGCGAUUAGAGCGGCCGAUGCCUGAUUAGCUUGUUGGUGGGGUAAAAGCCCACCAAGGCGACGAUCAGUAGCUGGUCUGAGAGGACGAUCAGCCACACUGGGACUGAGACACGGCCCAGACUCCUACGGGAGGCAGCAGUGGGGAAUUUUGGACAAUGGGGGCAACCCUGAUCCAGCAAUGCCGCGUGAGUGAAGAAGGCCUUCGGGUUGUAAAGCUCUUUUGUCAGGGAAGAAACACCGGCUCUAACACAGUCCGGGAAUGACGGUACCUGAAGAAUAAGCACCGGCUAACUACGUGCCAGCAGCCGCGGUAA
This 497-nucleotide ribosomal RNA is filed under the name uncultured bacterium. Its description in RNAcentral is "partial 16S ribosomal RNA". It matches the Rfam family "Bacterial small subunit ribosomal RNA", at positions 29 to 523 of the family's 1533-position model. The record is from RNAcentral.